Carassius gibelio (silver crucian carp) is the source of this 435-nucleotide long non-coding RNA. RefSeq lists it as uncharacterized. NCBI's taxonomy places the organism in Eukaryota, Metazoa, Chordata, Actinopteri, Cypriniformes, Cyprinidae. The record is from RefSeq and is a predicted model, not a curated record. The transcript has 3 exons.
CGUAGCAAUAAAAAAUAUACUAAAAACCUUGAUUAUUCUGGUUAGUCACAUUGUACUGCUAUUAUUUUGAACAAUACUGUACAUCUUCUGGCACACAAUCACCCUUGCUGUAGUCAACGCCUGGCUCCUCUACAAGCAGCACAGCCUAUGCUCUCAGAAUGCCAAAGAAGGAGAUACUGAACAUGAGAAAGUUUGAAGCACAGCUGGCUUCCUCUCUCAUUACGAGGACAGGAACCAUUUCUGGGAUUACCACUAUAAGUAAAGGUGGACUUCACGCUGAGCACACAGAUUUCAGUGGAGAGUGAGAGAACACUGCAGACAUUGCACUGUUAACAAUCUUGAUGGGCACCUCUUCGGACCUGACGUGCUACCCAGCUACGCAAACGCAGCUAAGUGGAUGUACUCUCUUGUGAUUGGCCAGAGUGAUCACGAGUC